GCAUUGGUGGUUCAGUGGUAGAAUUCCGGCCUUCCGCGCAGGAGACCUAGGUUGGAAUCCCUGCCAAUGCU
Molecule: transfer RNA, 71 nt
Filed under: Loxodonta africana (African savanna elephant)
Lineage: Eukaryota; Metazoa; Chordata; Mammalia; Proboscidea; Elephantidae
Rfam family: tRNA
About the family: Transfer RNA (tRNA) molecules are approximately 80 nucleotides in length. Their secondary structure includes four short double-helical elements and three loops (D, anti-codon, and T loops).
Source: Rfam by way of RNAcentral